UUAGCAUUUUUUAGAAAUAAUUUUUUUUUAAAAAUAAGGUAUGUGAAAAUGGUUUUUAGACGUAAUGCUAUUACAAGCUUAACAUAACUGAAGUUAUGUUUAUACUAUAUAAAGUAUAGUAUAAACGUAAGUUCUGUAUGUACUGGGAAGCCAAAAAGUUCAUGUGACUUGCUUUAUUGCAACAUCUGUUUUAUCGUGGUGGUCUAGCACUGUAUCUGCUAUAUCUCAGAUGAGCUCGAUAAAGGACAGAAAUGGUAUGGACCUAACAGAAGCAGAAGAUAUUAAGAAGAGAUGGCAAGAAUACACAGAAGAACUGUACAAAAAAAGAUCUUGACGACCCAGAUAAUCAUGAUGGUGUGAUCAGUGACCUAGAGCCAGACAUCCCGGAAUGUGAAGUCAAGUGGGCCUUAGAAAGCAUCACUACGAACAAAGCUAGUGGAGGUGAUGGAAUUCCAGUGGAGCUCUUUCAAAUCCUGAAAGAUGAUGCUGUGAAAGUGCUGCACUCAAUAUGCCAGCAAAUUUAGAAAACUCAGCAGUGGCCACAGGACUGGAAAAGGUCAGUUUUCAUUCCAAUCCCAAAGAAAGGCAAUGCCAAAGAAUGCUCAAACUACCGCACAAUUGCACUCAUCUCACAUGCUAGUAAAGUAAUGCUCAAAAUUCUCCAAGCCAGGCUUCAGCAAUAUGUGAACCGUGAACUUCCUGAUGUUCAAGCUGGUUUUAGAAAAGGCAGAGGAACCAGAGAUCAAAUUGCCAACAUCCGCUGGAUCAUGGAAAAAGCAAGAGAGUUCCAGAAAAACAUCUAUUUCUGCUUUAUUGACUAUGCCGAAGCCUUUGACUGUGUGGAUCACAAUAAACUGUGGAAAAUUCUGAAAGAGAUGGGAAUACCAGACCACCUGAUCUGCCUCUUAAAAAAACUGUAUGCAGGUCAGGAAGCAACAGUUAGAACUGGACAUGGAACAACAGACUGGUUCCAAAUAGGAAAAGGAGUACGUCAAGGCUGUAUAUUGUCACCCUGCUGUCACAUGUCACCCUGUCACGUGAGUCUGAGUGAACUCCGGGAGUUGGUGAUGGACAGGGAGGCCUGGUGUGCUGUGAUUCACGGGGUCGCAAAGAGUCGGACAUGACUGAGAGACUGAUCUGAUCUGAUCUCAACUGAUGCCUGUAUCUCAGAGGUAGCUCAGCACUAUUAACAAUAACCAAGAGAUGGAGACAGCCUAAGAGUCCAAGGAAAAAGAAGACAGAAGAUGUGGUUGGUAUACACAUACACACACACACAAUGGAAUACUACUCAUUCAAAGAUAUCAUGAAAAAGAUAAAAUCUUGCCAUUGGCAAAAACACGAAUGGACCUUGAGAAUAUUAUGCAAACUGAAAUAAAUCAGAGGGAGAAAGACAAAAAGCAUGUGACUUCAUUCACAUGUGAACUAUAAAACAAAUAAAUAAUUUAACAAACAAAAACAAAC
Bos taurus (domestic cattle) is the source of this 1461-nucleotide long non-coding RNA. The record is from Ensembl. NCBI's taxonomy places the organism in Eukaryota, Metazoa, Chordata, Mammalia, Artiodactyla, Bovidae.